This 310-nucleotide ribosomal RNA is filed under the name uncultured bacterium. Its description in RNAcentral is "bacterial SSU rRNA". It matches the Rfam family "Bacterial small subunit ribosomal RNA", at positions 28 to 334 of the family's 1533-position model. The record is from RNAcentral.
GAUGAACGCUAGCGGCAGGCUUAAUACAUGCAAGUCGAGGGGCAUCAGCUUAUAGCAAUAUAGGGCUGGCGACCGGCAAACGGGUGCGGAACACGUACACAACCUUCCUUUAAGAGGGGGAUAGCCCAUAGAAAUGUGGAUUAAUACCCCGUAAGAUAGUGGGAUGGCAUCAUACUACUAUUAUAGUUACGACGCUUGAAGAUGGGUGUGCGUCUGAUUAGGUAGUUGGCGGGGUAAGGCCCACCAAGCCUUCGAUCAGUAGCUGAUGUGAGAGCAUGAUCAGCCACACGGGCACUGAGACACGGGCCCG